Molecule: ribosomal RNA, 463 nt
Filed under: uncultured bacterium
Lineage: Bacteria
Description: partial 16S ribosomal RNA
Rfam family: Bacterial small subunit ribosomal RNA
Source: RNAcentral
GACGAACGCUGGCGGCGUGCUUAACACAUGCAAGUCGAACGGUGAACCUCUUCGGAGGGGAUCAGUGGCGAACGGGUGAGUAACACGUGGGCAACCUGCCCCCGGCUCUGGGAUAACUCCAAGAAAUUGGGGCUAAUACCGGAUGUUCACCGCUUCCCGCAUGGGUGGUGGUGGAAAGGGUUUCCGGCUGGGGAUGGGCCCGCGGCCUAUCAGCUUGUUGGUGGGGUAGUGGCCUACCAAGGCGAUGACGGGUAGCCGGCCUGAGAGGGUGACCGGCCACACUGGGACUGAGACACGGCCCAGACUCCUACGGGAGGCAGCAGUGGGGAAUAUUGCGCAAUGGGCGGAAGCCUGACGCAGCGACGCCGCGUGGGGGAUGACGGCCUUCGGGUUGUAAACCUCUUUCAGCAGGGACGAAGCGCAAGUGACGGUACCUGCAGAAGAAGCACCGGCCAACUACGUG